AUUACAACCUAACUAACUAUAAUAUUAUAUACCAACAAUAUUUUAUAAUUAUUUUAUUAUAUAAAUAAUAACAAAUCCAAAAUAUUUUAUAAUAUCAUCUCAUUUAAAAUGUAUUAUUGACAACUGUAAGAAAAAUAGUACACUACAUGAUUUAUAAUACAAAAAUUAAUAAAUAAAAUAAAAGAUUUGGUUAUCAAUGUAGAAAUUAUUAGAAUGCGU
This 219-nucleotide long non-coding RNA is filed under the name Amborella trichopoda. RNAcentral describes it as "long non-coding RNA (ATRI_LNC001468)". The record is from RNAcentral. Lineage: Eukaryota; Viridiplantae; Streptophyta; Magnoliopsida; Amborellales; Amborellaceae.